RNAcentral lists this long non-coding RNA (1322 nucleotides) under Trifolium pratense (red clover). Its description in RNAcentral is "long non-coding RNA (TPRA_LNC000775)". The record is from RNAcentral. Lineage: Eukaryota; Viridiplantae; Streptophyta; Magnoliopsida; Fabales; Fabaceae.
ACUAGGCACUGAAAAACAACAGACCAACUAAGUGAAGGGAAAUUGAGGUGGCAAGCAUAGAGUGACAGAGAGAUAUGGUGAAGACAUAUGGCUUCUUUUGGUCCUUCUCAAGCAACAGCUUCAUGAAGCCAUUGAUUUUCAAUCCAAUGACUUUAUUGCAGUAGUUCUACCAAAUUUCUAUUUCUCCCCAACCAAAUUUCAGUAGUAACAUACCCCACUAGCAAUAACAACACCAGUAACAAUACUGCUAUAGCAACAUACUGCUACUUGAAACUUGAAAGUUGAAACCCAUAAUCUUCAUCCAUUUGCAUAGGAACAAUCUUCAUCCAUGCUAAUUGCUGAGCAAAUACUUGUUCAAUAGAAGAGACACUAAGUGAAGAUUAAGAUUAACUAGGGGAAAACUUGGAGAGGUGGAUAAAAAAAAAAAAACAGCGGAAAUAAAGAAGAGAAAAUAUUUGUGAACCUGAAAUAUCAAUUCCGGGACAUGAAAUUGAGAGACAGUGAAACUGAAAUAUCAAUUUCAGGACCUGCGUUCGUCUCUCUUGCAUUAGUAAAUUCACCUUAGAAAAACGGUGAUCCGAAGGAAUGGUAAAAAGAGAAUUGAAACAAAGAUGUUCGUAGUUAAAGUUGAAUGGAGAGAGACUAACUUGAUAGAGUGUUCCAUGGUUCAUUCUUGUGCUAUGCCCAACCUGCAUCAUAUAAGGGUAUUUCGGAACGUGCUUCCUAAGUUACCCAUUUUAGGAUCUUGGUUUCGGAAUGAACUGCAAAAAAUAUAUGUGUCUCGGGAGUUACAAACCGAACAUGAUUAAUUUCGGAACGUAACUUCCGAAGUUAGAACAGAAAAACGCUUAAUCACACAAGUUGAGUUGGCUCUUAGGGGAUGCUUCUGAGUUUCUUGUUUUGCAUCCUUCGAUGCUUGCAACUGUCCAGUUGCACUUAAAGCGGCAGCGCGAGCACAAGUAAUGAGAUUUGAGAGAUGCAGUAUACAUAAGUAAGAUACCCACUCCAUUCAAACUUAGAAUUUUUGCAAAAACUCAAUUUACAAAACAAACUUCAUCCAAUUUCAUGGAAAACAAAACCCAAACUUCAUACAUGUGGAUUAACAGAAACAGAAAAACAAAGUGGAACAAAUUAAAGAAGAUGAGGGAUUAUGAGACGAAAUCUUUGCAGGAAUGGAAGGGAUUGAGAAAGAAUCCAAAUUGCGUGCCCUAAAAUUCACCCAAGUAAAGGCAAAUGAAACGAUAUUGGAAGAUGCAUGAAAUUGCUGCGUUUUCGGAUCCUGAAAUCCGAACUGUUUGUCAUUUCAGUUAGUAGAUUCCAGA